CCAUCUCCGUCAGGAUCACCUCCCACUCGGCCAUGGCCGGAACAGGGCCAUAGACUGGAGGUGCAAGGGGCUCUUCGUGGGCAGGCGUCGGUGUUGGGAGAUCCGGGUAAGUGUCCCCUCCGUCGAUCUCUGAUUCCAGUGGUGGAUUGGCCGGGUUUGAAGGGCAUGGCCCGUAUCUGUGCACAGGACAGAAGAUCCCCCCUGUGUAUUCCAGUUGCCAAUCCAUGUGUGGAGCAACAAAGGCCGACGGGGCGACAAAGUCCGGCAUUGGAGGUGCCUGGUAGGCAUGGUGGACGGCCGUGGGUGGGUGGCUUGGUCCUGCUACUGCAGAUCCAUGGUGGUCGUGGUGACCACCACGCCCACGGCGACCACGGCGACCACGGCGGCCGUUGCUAGAGCCCCAAUGGCGAUGAACUCCAAGACCCUGGCUUCUUGCAGAUCGACAGAUUUCUCUUCUAAUGAAACGAACGAGGGCGGAGGCGUGCAGGUUCAUCCCUGCCAUCUCACCUUUUCUCUUCGUCUCCGGUGCUCUGUCGGUAGGCUACGUGCUGAUAACGUGUGAAG
This 564-nucleotide long non-coding RNA is filed under the name Hordeum vulgare. RNAcentral describes it as "long non-coding RNA (HVUL_LNC018691)". The record is from RNAcentral. Lineage: Eukaryota; Viridiplantae; Streptophyta; Magnoliopsida; Poales; Poaceae.